Molecule: long non-coding RNA, 2434 nt
Organism: Artibeus jamaicensis (Jamaican fruit-eating bat)
Lineage: Eukaryota; Metazoa; Chordata; Mammalia; Chiroptera; Phyllostomidae
Exons: 6
Source: RefSeq, a predicted model, not a curated record
CCGGCACUGCUGGCUGCCUGCCCUGCGCUCAUCUGGGUUUUCCGGCUGCAGCUUGGGCUCCCCUAACCCGUGGCCCGCCGCCCUUGCUUCUGUGAGAAUCUCGAUGGGCUGCUUUGCUUUGGUUUCGUUUGUGCUGCGGACGGGAGCAGGAGCUGUGGGGGCUGGACAUCGGCACUGAAACCCCCAGAUAUAAAGCCAGGACCAUUGCAUUUCCUAUUAUACAAAUGGAAGGCUUUUACCAUUUUUAUUGGACUCUCAGCAUGAAGGACGGUGUGUCUUCUCGCUCCUUUAAAAUAAACAAAGCUCUCAGUGCAUAGUAUGGCUCGUGGGGCUCAGAGGAGCACAUGAAGAGUGAGGCGCACGUCAUUCCCUCAGCUGAGCAACGCUCUCCCGCAGGACGCGAUCGGUAUGAAGUUUUGAACCAUUUCUUUGUAAUCCUGUAUUAUUUAAUGAAUACCCAUAACGAGUGAUAGGCAAACUGAGAAGGCAAAAAGAAUGAUGAUGUUGCAAUGCAGGAAAAUGGGAGUUAAGAUUUCUAAUUUUUGCAGCAUCUUUGAGCCUCACAGAUUUCCUAAUGACCUGAGUGGCAGGUGUGUAUGAUCUAGAUUUGUAGAUAGUAUAUUAAACACUUUAUUGUUAUUAUUCCCUAAACAAUAUAACAGCUAUUUAUAUGGCAUUUACACUGUAUUAGAUAUAAUAAGUAACCUAGAGUUUUAAAGUGUGCAGGAGGAUAUGCAAAGGUUAUAUAUGUAAAUACUGCACCAUUGCUUUAAAAAAUGUUUUUAAGUUGAUUUUUAGAGAGAGGGGAAGAAAGGGAGAAAGAGAGGGAGAGAGACAUCAAUGUGUGGUUGCCCCUUACUGGGUACUUGGUCCACAACCCAGGCAUGUGCCCUGACUGGGAAUUGAACCAGUGACCCUCUGGUUUGCAGGCUGGCGCUCAAUCCACUGAGCCACAGCAGCCAGGGCUGUACCAUUGUUUAUAAGGGACUUCAGCAUCUACAAAUCUGGGUGUCUGCGGGGGUCCUAGAAACAAUCCCCACAGAUACCAAGAAAUGACUGUAUCUUUAAACUUCAGCAGCCUCUCUGUUCAAUGGGAUGUUCUAAAAAUUCCCUUCCCUCCUCCCAGCUCGCAAAUCUCCUCCCUGACAUGCUUGGACCUCCAGUUCUCACCUGUGCUGGUGUCUUACCUGCCCCCACUGGACUGGCUGCACUUUUCUUCUCUUGUCUGUGUUAAAACCCCUGGAUGCUGGAAUCCCUUAGAUUUGCUGUUUGCUUGCUUGUUUGUGUGCCUUUUUUAUUUUAUUUUUUUUGCCAGAGAUUAUCUCAAAUAACUUACUAAGAAGAGUGUUAGAGCCAAGAUGGAGCACCCUUCAUAGAUGGAAAUACCCCAUUUCCAAGAUGGAAAUACUGAGCCCCCUCACAUAACCAGAUUUAAGGACAAUGAAGAUUUAGAAACAAAAAUACAACCAGAACAGAUAGAAAAUUGAACUGUACGGAAGUCCGACAACGAACCAUUCAUCCAGACCGCGUGGAAAAAGGAAAGGUGUGAAAUUAUACCCACUUCGCUGCCUCUGCGUCCUGUCCCCAGAACAAACUGCUGACUCCUCUCCAGGAAGCGGAUUUUCACAUUGUAGACUCUGUUCCCGUAAAAGACCACCAAAACGUAGGGUUCUGUCCGGGACUUCACGGAACAGUCUCGGACCAAGAAAGUACCAUCCUGAAGGAAGAGGAAGACUGGUUAUCCUCUCAGGCAACCCAGCGAGCGUCCCACCCUCCCAGCGUGGAAACAGUGCUGCUUACAGUCCCGGAGGGAGAAGGAAACCCGGAUACGUGCACGACAGAAGCCAAGGCGAUGGGCAGAGAGUGAGGGUCCCAAAGGUCAACAGUGUGGAAUGGUCCUCAGGCUGUGAACAGGCACCUGAUACGGAGCAGAACCCGCCAGGCACCCCUGGGAAGGGCUGCGGACGGAGGUCCCACGUAGAAGGCCUAGGAAUGGGGCAAGACCCCCGAAGAUGUUCAGCUGUAAUGGAAGCCUUAAGACUCAAGCACGGAACCUUGCCAAAGAUCAGAAAGGGGAGGAGUCAAGAUGCAUGGCUGACUUCGGGGUUCACCCCCUUAAAGUCCGAAGUGUGUUUGUCACCACGAGUCUGAGUGACCCCGCAGUUGGAAUCAUCUUCGAUAAGUGGAAGACGCACUUUGACUGCACUGAGACUAGCAGAGAAGGCGGCCAUUCACCUGAGAUUUGGUCUUCUCGGCGUUUGCGGGGAGAGAAGGCGGAACUGGGCGCAGAGGGGGUGGGGAGGGGGCAUGGACCCAGGCAGAUUUUGAGAAGGAAGAGCUCCUCUGGAUUACAGGUCUGCCACCUUCUCCAUCUGUGACUGAGACCUUGACUUAGCUUCAUUUUUCUCAUCUCAAAAUAAGAUAUUUCCAUUUA